Molecule: ribosomal RNA, 402 nt
Filed under: Triticum aestivum (bread wheat)
Lineage: Eukaryota; Viridiplantae; Streptophyta; Magnoliopsida; Poales; Poaceae
Description: partial small subunit ribosomal RNA
Source: RNAcentral
AUGGCCCUCUCAUCAGUUUUCAGGAGAGUAAACAUCAAAGAACUGAUCUCAAAUGUUCCAGUGUACACUAGCUCAACAGAGACAUCUGGAGGAAUGAGCUUGGUGUUUAGGCGUUGGGCCACAAAAAAGACUGCUGGGUCAACGAAAAAUGGCCGCGACUCUAACCCCAAGUAUCUGGGUGUUAAGAAAUUUGGUGGAGAGCCUAGUGCCAGUUCCUGUUUUUCCCCUUGUUUCAGUGUUUCGCAGAAAAGGAAUAUCAAACGGAGUCCAAACGAAAUGAAACCUUCGAGAAAGUUAUUUUUGGGAAGAAAGCAAUCCGGGAGACUUGGAGUGCAUCUAUGGACUUAUGAUUGUAUGCAUGUGCUCCACGUGCAUAUUGAAAAGGGUGCAAGUAAUAAGUAA